RNAcentral lists this ribosomal RNA (336 nucleotides) under uncultured Acinetobacter sp. RNAcentral describes it as "bacterial SSU rRNA". It matches the Rfam family "Bacterial small subunit ribosomal RNA", at positions 1047 to 1382 of the family's 1533-position model. Lineage: Bacteria; Pseudomonadati; Pseudomonadota; Gammaproteobacteria; Moraxellales; Moraxellaceae. The record is from RNAcentral.
CGUUGUCGUCAGCUCGUGUCGUGAGAUGUUGGGUUAAGUCCCGCAACGAGCGCAACCCUUUUCCUUAUUUGCCAGCGGGUUAAGCCGGGAACUUUAAGGAUACUGCCAGUGACAAACUGGAGGAAGGCGGGGACGACGUCAAGUCAUCAUGGCCCUUACGACCAGGGCUACACACGUGCUACAAUGGUCGGUACAAAGGGUUGCUACCUAGCGAUAGGAUGCUAAUCUCAAAAAGCCGAUCGUAGUCCGGAUUGGAGUCUGCAACUCGACUCCAUGAAGUCGGAAUCGCUAGUAAUCGCGGAUCAGAAUGCCGCGGUGAAUACGUUCCCGGGCCUU